CCUACGGGUGGCAGCAGUGAGGAAUAUUGGUCAAUGGACGAGAGUCUGAACCAGCUAAGUAGCGUGAAGGAUGACUGCCCUAUGGGUUGUAAACUUCUUUUAUAUGGGAAUAAAAUGUUCCACGUGUGGGAUUUUGUAUGUACCAUAUGAAUAAGGAUCGGCUAACUCCGUGCCAGCAGCCGCGGUAAUACGGAGGAUCCGAGCGUUAUCCGGAUUUAUUGGGUUUAAAGGGAGCGUAGGUGGAUUGUUAAGUCAGUUGUGAAAGUUUGCGGCUCAACCGUAAAAUUGCAGUUGAAACUGGCAGUCUUGAGUACAGUAGAGGUGGGCGGAAUUCGUGGUGUAGCGGUGAAAUGCUUAGAUAUCACGAAGAACUCCGAUUGCGAAGGCAGUUCACUGGACUGCAACUGACACUGAGGCUCGAAAGUGUGGGUAUCAAACAGGAUUAGAUACCCGAGUAGUC
RNAcentral lists this ribosomal RNA (460 nucleotides) under uncultured bacterium. RNAcentral's name for it is "partial 16S ribosomal RNA". It matches the Rfam family "Bacterial small subunit ribosomal RNA", at positions 338 to 795 of the family's 1533-position model. The record is from RNAcentral.